This 253-nucleotide ribosomal RNA is filed under the name uncultured bacterium. RNAcentral describes it as "partial 16S ribosomal RNA". It matches the Rfam family "Bacterial small subunit ribosomal RNA", at positions 524 to 776 of the family's 1533-position model. The record is from RNAcentral.
UACGUAGGGGGCAAGCGUUGUCCGGAAUCAUUGGGCGUAAAGAGCGUGUAGGCGGCUUCUUAAGUCGGUGGUGAAAUCCUGGAGCUCAACUCCAGAACUGCCUUCGAUACUGGGAAGCUCGAGUCCGGGAGAGGUGAGUGGAACUGCGAGUGUAGAGGUGAAAUUCGUAGAUAUUCGCAAGAACACCAGUGGCGAAGGCGGCUCACUGGCCCGGUACUGACGCUGAGGUGCGAAAGCGUGGGGAGCAAACAGG